GAUGAAGAACGCAGCGAAAUGCGAUAAGUAAUGUGAAUUGCAGAAUUCAGUGAAUCAUCGAAUCUUUGAACGCACCUUGCGCUCCUUGGUAUUCCGAGGAGCAUGCCUGUUCGAGCGUCAUUUCACCACUCAAGCCUGGCUUGGUGUUGGGCGACGUCCCCUUUGGGGACGCGCCUCGAAACGCUCGGCGGCGUGGCACCGGCUUUAAGCGUAGCAGAAUCUUUCGCUUUGGAAGUCGGGGCCCCGUCUGCCGGAAGACCUACUCGCAAGGUUGACCUCGGAUCAGGCAGGGAUACCCGCUGAACUUAAGCAUAUCAAUAAGCGGAGGA
This 329-nucleotide unclassified non-coding RNA is filed under the name soil metagenome. RNAcentral describes it as "partial contains 5.8S ribosomal RNA, internal transcribed spacer 2, and large subunit ribosomal RNA". The stretch from base 1 to 120 matches the Rfam family "5.8S ribosomal RNA", at positions 35 to 154 of the family's 154-position model. The record is from RNAcentral.